RNAcentral lists this ribosomal RNA (497 nucleotides) under uncultured bacterium. Its description in RNAcentral is "partial 16S ribosomal RNA". It matches the Rfam family "Bacterial small subunit ribosomal RNA", at positions 28 to 507 of the family's 1533-position model. The record is from RNAcentral.
GAUGAACGCUGGCGGCGUGCCUAAUACAUGCAAGUCGAGCGAACGGACGAGAAGCUUGCUUUUCUGAUGUUAGCGGCGGACGGGUGAGUAACACGUGGAUAACCUACCUAUAAGACUGGGAUAACUUCGGGAAACCGGAGCUAAUACCGGAUAAUAUUUUGAACCGCAUGGUUCAAAAGUGAAAGACGGUCUUGCUGUCACUUAUAGAUGGAUCCGCGCUGCAUUAGCUAGUUGGUAAGGUAACGGCUUACCAAGGCAACGAUGCAUAGCCGACCUGAGAGGGUGAUCGGCCACACUGGAACUGAGACACGGUCCAGACUCCUACGGGAGGCAGCAGUAGGGAAUCUUCCGCAAUGGGCGAAAGCCUGACGGAGCAACGCCGCGUGAGUGAUGAAGAUCUUCGGAUCGUAAAAAUCUGUUAUUGGGGAAGAACAUAUGUGUAAGUAACUGUGCACAUCUUGACGGUACCUGAUCAGAAAGCCACGGCUAACUACGUG